GAAAUCCCAUGCCCUUUUUGCAUUUAUACAUGUGAAAGACAUGCGUUUACAUACAGAAACCACAUAAUUAUUAGGAACCAACAACGGUGCUCUUGAUUCUCACUGAAAAAUUACUUUAAGUCACAUGGGAAAUUUUUCUAAGAGCUUAAAAUCAGAGCCCUGCCCAGUCAACAACACUGUGAAUGUGUCCUGGCUAGGCUACAAAGGUAUUCAGAAAAUCUUGAAUUAGGACAGCAAAAAUGAAACAUAAGCAGUGUCAAAUCAAUACUGUGGAAGAUGGUGUGAGAAAAAGAACACAUGUAUAUGUAUGUAUGACUGGGUUACUAUGCUGUACCACAGAAAUUGACACAACACUAUAAAUCAACUAUACUCUAAUAAGGAAUUUUUAAUAAAAAAAAUUAAAAGCACUGAGAGUACCAAAAAACCCUACUGUGGGCAUUUUUAAAGUUAUUUGGCUUAAGUCGUCAUAUAAUCAGAAAUAAAGUAUCACUGCUGCUUUCAAAGGGACAGAGAGCAGAGUAAAGAUUUGCUCAGAGACAUAUAAGCACUUAAAAGUAAACAGGCACGGAUUGUGAGAUUACAUAUUCUAAGUAGGAAUCAGCUGCAGGCACUUCUGAAUCAUUUGUGUUUCUGAUCUUUUAGGAAUCAGCCUGUAGGCAAAGCAUAUGUUGAGGCUGCUGGUAGUGCCUAGAUGAGGGUGCAUGUACACGUGGGAGGGGUCUGAGCACCUCUCUGGAUGCCAACAACACCCCCCUCCCCGCCCCCAAGAGAAAGGAUGGUUAUCUUGGAGAAGAUAUUUGAUGUUGGUGUUGAAGAAAGUUCAGCAAUGGCUUGGCUAUGAAAUGAGAUGAAGAGUUCUGGAAGCCUGUGUAGAAAGGCUCAUAGAAGAAAGCAGGUGAGACUUUACUAAAAUACAUAAGGAGUAAUAUUUUUUUUUUCAAAAAGGGUAGUUCUGUAUAAUGUAAUUUUAGGGGGAGUCUGGGUGAAGGUUAUGUGGAACCUCUCUGUACUAUGUAGAUACUUGUGAGUCAAUAAUUAUUUCAAAAUAAAAAGUUAAAGCAAAUUUUAAAAGAUAAAACA
This 1080-nucleotide long non-coding RNA is filed under the name Sus scrofa (pig). RNAcentral describes it as "lncRNA (ENSSSCG00055017449.1)". Lineage: Eukaryota; Metazoa; Chordata; Mammalia; Artiodactyla; Suidae. The record is from RNAcentral.